Molecule: long non-coding RNA, 5658 nt
Filed under: Sus scrofa (pig)
Lineage: Eukaryota; Metazoa; Chordata; Mammalia; Artiodactyla; Suidae
Description: lncRNA (ENSSSCG00025073162.1)
Source: RNAcentral
GAUCCCUGGCCUCCCUCAGUGGGUUAAGGAUCUAGCAUUGCCAUGAGCUGUGGUAUAGGUCACAGACACAGCUUGGAUUUGGCGUUGCCAUGGCUGUGACCUGGGCCAUGGCUACAGCUCAGAUUCAACCCCUAGCCUUGGAACCUCCAUAUGCUGCUGGUGCGGCCCUAAAAAGCCAAAAAAUAUAAUAAAAUAAAAUAAAUAAAAUAAAAUAAAACAAAACAAAACAAAAUAAAAUCUUAUAUUUUAAUUUACUUUGUUUUUUGUCAUUGGCUGAGGAUGCCAGGGUAGAAUGUAGCACCCUCAUCCACUCUGAUGAGGCAGAAUGAUGUCUCAGAAAAUGUCUGAGGCUUGGAGACAGAGAACCUAGGCCUGCAUCCCAGAUUUACUAUUUACUACCUGUGAGCUUUGAAAAGGUUUUACUAUAUUUCAGACUCUAUAUUGCCUAGAAAAGGGCAAUUAUGAGGACAUUUUACUAGGUAGUUGUGAAGACUGAAAUCGAUGUAAAGGGCAUAUUGUGUUUAUUAUUACGUUUUCCGAUUAUCCAGUACUUUCUAAUUAUCCAGUACUUUUUCUAAAGUUUGGGAAAUUUCCAGCCUAUGACAACUUCUCCUGAAAGUAAAAGCCAAGAACCCCAACCCUCUUCACACUUGGGUUGCAAACAUGUGACCUAUACUUCCUCCUGGUCACAUGCCCCUCCUAGUGGGCAUGCCCAGUGCUGGCAGUAUGACCUGGGGCUAUACCUGUAACAAGGCCAACACCUGGAACAAUCCAGCAAUAUGAUUUCAGCUAAUAUCACCUCAUAAACCAAUGUAACUUAAUUAACUUUUUAGAAAGACUAGCUGGAGUGGUUUUUACCAAUCAAGAAACCCUAAUUAAAGCAGCAACUAUUCCAGAAUAUGGCAGAAAGUACACAACCAACAAAUGAUAGUUGCUUAUACCAUUCUGGGUAGAGUCCAUUAUAUGAAAGAGCACAACCUAAUCAUGUAACUUUCUCUGAUUACCCAAUAUGAGCCAGAAAAACACAAAAACUAAAGCAGAGUGAUUAUAUAAAUUUCCAAAGUUCAAAGGGCUAGUAGAACCCAGAUUGGUUCAUCAUCAUUGUCAUAAAUUAAAAUGCUAUUUUAUAGAUAAGAAUAAUUCCCCAAGGUCUCAGAGCUCAGAAGCAAAGCAGCCAGGGUUUCAUAUGGUACUACUACAUCUUCUUCUAUUUUCAGUCAUAGCAAUAGGUCUUAUCUUUUGAAUAUUAUCCACAAAUUACAAGCACAAUUUAGAUCCUGGCUUCUAGAAGAAUUCUCUCUUUGAUCAGUUUCAGUAAGAAUAAUAAAAAAAUCCCACACUGCUAACUACAAAUGGAAUGCUAUCUUUUAAUCUUUUAAGUUGUUCUUCAAAAUGAGUUCAGGCUAGUGGCAUAUGCUAUAAUGAAGAGUAAGUCACGUGGUCAUUAUUUCUUGAUCGAUCCUGAUGCCAUAAAUGUUAUCUUCCACUGUGGAAUUACAGACUCUAAAUUAAAUAGCCAAUAAAUCUCAUAGAGGUCAUUUUAGGCAUAGAUUCCAGACAUCAGUUCCUGAUUUUGGUCCUUUUGCUGGCUAGCCAACUAGUUAGGUAGCACCAAACAAGUGAAAAUAGCUUAUCUAUGAGAGGCACUUGACUCUCAAGAGCUGUAAUUUCCUUUGUUAUUCUACGCCAACUCUAUUAAAGUCGUUAAACGUGACUUCAGCACUAAGGAUACUGAAGUCGUUCCAAUAGCAAAAGAGAUCCUGUUGCAGCACAUCGUAGGCAUGCAAUAGUUGUCAAUUGAAAUUUUUUAAAUGAAUACUUAGGAUACUCAUGCUGCUUUGUACUGGAGAUUAUGCUGAACACAAUCUACACUUGUUAUUAUCCAGGAACCCUUUUUUUUUUUUAACAAAAAAGACAAAAUUUCAGCUUUUAGGUUUCCAAGUUAGAUGCCUGGAGUAGGGGUGGGGUUCAAAAUACGACCUUGUCAAUUUCUUACUUUGUGCUUGUCUCAAGCUGGGAAAUACAAUAAACAAAAAACAGAAGAACCAGAGGUAUAGAGGCAAAAAGCUGUUCAAACUGUUCCUAUUCAUGCUACAAACGGGAAACCAUAAAACCUAAAAGAAUAUUCUUCAUUUCAUUUCAACCACAACCACAUCUGAAUGACAAGAGGGAUGCUUUGGGUACAUGCAGAUGCUAAAUAUUCAUCUGAGACAGAAGAUUUCUGUCGACGGCUCCAAGAUAUGAGUGACACAGCUCUGCUCACAGGAUGUGAAAUCCACAACCUGUAAAGUAAAAAUCUAGGCAACAAUCCAAUGUUUGAGAAAAAGAAGUUAGGCUCAUUUUUUACUAAAUCCAUUUGAUCACUUAUUUUGGACUCAUUGCUUUGAAACUUUUUUUUUUUUUUUAAAGAACAAAAGGAAAUCAACUCUACUUUAAUAAAAAAAAUUUUAAAAAGAAGCACCAAAAAGGUAGCAUAUCUCUUGGAGUCAUGUUGGCACAAUAGAAGUAGGUAACCAAAGAUUAGCAAGUUAGGAGAGGGGGCAUUUCAAGGAGUGAGCAGCAAGCCUCAAAUUGAGGGACUAUAGAGCUUCUAAGUCUCCUACAGACAGCACAGCUUGAGGCCUGCUGUCUCUUGACAUAUAACAGCACAGACUCUUUGAUCCUUGAAGUCUGAAGAUGAGUAUGUACAGGACUGUAUUACACUACCAGACAUGCCCAAUAAAUACUAAAGAAAGAGAGACAAGCCCAUGCAACAGGGGCAGGAACACAGCAAAAGCUCUUGGGAGAGAAAAAAAAAAAAGACAUGGGAGUUGCAAGAAAACGCCAACCAAAAGGGGAUAUUGCUUCCUUCCUUGGCUCUGCAUGUGAUCACCCUCAGCUAAUUAUGCCAAAUACCAGAGACCUAACAUUUUCCCUAUAGAUCCAUUAAAGAGGUGUCUGAGAAAAUACUGGAAGGAUGCUUGUAAGGCUGAAUUUCCAAAGUAGCUUCAAAGGGAAUUGUAAGAUGUGAGUACAUCAGGGAAAAUCAGUGCUGUAUGUACACAGGAAUGCUUACCUAGAUAUCUCUUCUUUUUUGUACACUUGUUCCAACAGGAGGUUUGUCACAGCUUAACUGAAACUUACACAAUUACAUGAGAGGACAUGUUACAUGAAAGAGUGGACAACCAGGAUUUGGGUAAGAUGUUCCAACGUACUUUGGUCAGUGACAAUCUGUUCUUAGUAAAAGGAAUUUAAAGUCCUACUUAUUCUCCUGCUUGUCCUCCUCCUCCUCCUAAUUAUUAAACUAAACUCCCAGACACCAAGGUAACAUCAUUUUGAUUAAUUUGUCAUUAAACAGGAAGUAAUAAACUUCUCAAAGGAAAUUUUUCCCCUGUAAAUACUCUUGUUAACUAAGAUCAAUCACCAAUUGGUAGACAACUCUCCCUUCACUUUCCUAACAGCAGGGCUUCCAGACUAGAAAGGCUUUUUGUCAGCAUUCUACAAAAUAAACCUUGGAGUUGACUCAUGCCACUAAGCCUGACACCAGCAGUAACACUGAUCGGUUACAUUGGAUUUAUACCCUGAAUUCCCUCUGGUGCUAAUUAAUAUCUGCAAAAUGGAAAUUUUUUUAUUAAAUUUUUGUCACUGAAGUGUAGGAAGAACUAACAUUUAUAAAAGGUUUUGAGCUACACUAAAGAGUAAAUGAGGCAGUAAUAUCUUUUCAUCACCAUAUGAAAUUUAGGGAAAAUUCUAAUUUAAUGUAAUUACAUAGUUUUGUAAACUAUGUAAAAUUAAAGUUUUAAUUACUAGGAUCAAAUGAAAAAUUUACACGUCAAAGGUUCUUUUUUAAAAAAAUACAAAAAUAAGAUCUACAAUAUUGCAUCUUUAUUAAUAUAAAGUAUUACAUCCCAUCUCCUCUUGGAAAGCUAAUUUUAAGAAAAUAGAAGCUGAUAAUUAUUAAAUUAAUAUCAUAACAAUUUAACUCCAUAAAUGCUUACUGAGCAAUUUUGACAUCAUAAAAAAUGCCCAACUCAGAAUGAUGCAUAUUACAAGAUAAAUGAAUAACAAAAAGAGAACUGAACCUAGCAUAUUUGUUUCAGAUAUUCAUUUUUAAGUAAUAGAAAUCAUUAAAUAAUCUCAAAGGGUGAGAAAUUUUACAUUAUAUCUCCAGCAAAGAGCUAGGGUAAUAAUCAGGGACCUACUAUCAUCAUUUCCUACACAUAAAAGUUAAUUUUAUGUGUCAACUUGAUUGGGCCACCAGGUGCUCAGACAUUUGAUUCAAACAUUAUUCUGAGUAUGCCUGUGAGGCAUUUCUAGAUGAGAUUAACAUUUGAAAUGGUAGGAAUAAAGCAAAUGAUCUCCCCACACUCCCAACCCCACCCCUCCCUGCAACGAAUGGCCGAAUGGCCCGUGUUCAGUCUGUUGAAGGCCUGGCUAGAACAAAAAGACUGAUCCUCCUUCAAAUAACAGGGAAUUUCUGCUUCCUGCCAGAGCUAAAACUCUGGUCUGCUCUGUCUUUUGGUCUCAGACAAAAGUAUUUAGCUCCCCACCCCCAACUACCCCAAAAGCUCUUCUAGAGUUUCAAGUCUGCUGGACCUACAAAUGGGCUCUCCUAAGUCUCUAGCUUGCUGAUUACAGACAAAUAUGGGACUUCUCAGCCUCUAUAUUCACAUGAGCAAUUCCUUAUUAUAUAUUUAUAUAUUUUAUAGGAUGUGGCAAUAGAUGUAUCCUGUUGGUCCUGUUUUUCUAGAGAAACUUGACUAAUAUGCUAAGGGUGCUAAAAAGUGCUAUGAUAAAAGAAAUUCACUAAACAUGCAAGAAGGUGGCCCAAGAUUUUUCUUUUUUAUUUAUUUAUUUAUUUGGCUUUUUAGGGCUGCACCUGCAGCACAUGGAAGGUCCCAGGCUAGGGAUCAAAUCGGAGCUACAGCUGCUGGCCUAUACCACAGCCACAGCAACACUGGAUCUGAACUGAGUCUGUGACUUACACCACAGCUCAUGGCAAUGCCAGAUCCCUGACCCACUGAGGGAAGCCAGGGAUCAAACCUGCAUCCUAGUCAGAUUGUUUCCACUGAGCUACAACAGGAAUUCCCCAAGCUUCCCUUUUCUGAAUAACUUUGAGGAAGAAAAUAUUUGUGAAAAACAAAAUAGACUGCACUUCCCAGUGACAAAAGUAAACUAUUUUUUAAACGUUGUAAACAAAAUAUAUGAGUCAGACCAAAAAAAACCUCAAAACUUACUUAAUGGAUCAACAGAUUCAAAACAUGAGAAAUGGACAAACAAGGUAACAAGAUCUGAAAUUCAAUGAUUUCUUAUUUUUAAAGAAGAAAGUUUAUUGGGUAUUUUAUCAAAAAAUACAGUGUUCAUUAAAAAAAAAAAUUAGACUUAAAAGAGGACCCCAAAGAAACAAAGUCGUGAAAAGAAAAAAAAAAUCUAAAAGGUAGGAUGAAAAUUCCCCUUUGUCCAUUUAUCAUGAUUUAGGAAAAAAGAAGAAAAAGACAAAGGAAAGGGGAACAGAGUAUGACUGAAACAACCCAACAGCUUCUCAAUAAGAAGAGUUAAUUUUCAACUACAGGCCAGGAGGGAAUGGCAAGAGAUAUUUAAAGUGCUAAAAGGAAAAAAUAUGCAACCUAGAAUACUCUAUCCAGCAAGAAUAUCAUUUAAAAUAGAAGGGGAAAUAAA